Podarcis raffonei (Aeolian wall lizard) is the source of this 415-nucleotide long non-coding RNA. RefSeq lists it as uncharacterized. NCBI's taxonomy places the organism in Eukaryota, Metazoa, Chordata, Lepidosauria, Squamata, Lacertidae. The transcript is spliced from 2 exons. The record is from RefSeq and is a predicted model, not a curated record.
UUACUGUAUUUUUUGCUCUAUAAGACUCACUUUUUCCCUCCUAAAAAGUAAGGGGAAGUGUGUGUGCGUCUUAUGGAGCGAAUGCAGGCUGCGCAGCUAUCCCAGAAGCCAGAACAGCAAGAGGGAUUGCUGCUUUCACUGCGCAGCGAUCCCUCUUGCUGUUCUGGCUUCUGAGAUUCAGAAUAUUUUUUUUCUUGUUUUCCUCCUCCAAAAACUAGGUGCGUCUUGUGGUCUGGUGCGUCUUAUAGAGCGAAAAAUACGGUAUGCCAUAUAGCCCAAACAGCUACAAAGAUGCGCUUGAAAAAAUGUGGACAAUGCCUGCUGAGAAACUAGAAGAAUUGCGGUGUACAGAGUUUUCACUGACCUCUGUAGGACCUUGAUGCUGUUCAGGAGGAGCAGAAGUAGAAUAAGUUAC